GAUGAACGCUAGCGAUAGGCUUAACACAUGCAAGUCGAGGGGCAGCAUGGUCUUAGCUUGCUAAGACUGAUGGCGACCGGCGCACGGGUGCGUAACGCGUAUGCAACUUGCCUCACAGAGGGGGAUAACCCGUCGAAAGACGGACUAAUACCGCGUACACUCCAUCUUGGGCAUCCAAGGUAGAGGAAAUGAAAUUCGCUGUGAGAUAGGCAUGCGUCCCAUUAGCUAGUUGGUGAGGUAACGGCUCACCAAGGCGACGAUGGGUAGGGGAACUGAGAGGGUGAACCCCCACACUGGUACUGAGACACGGACCAGACUCCUACGGGAGGCAGCAGUGAGGAAUAUUGGUCAAUGGGCGAGAGCCUGAACCAGCCAAGUCGCGUGAAGGAUGACUGUCUUAUGGAUUGUAAACUUCUUUUAUACGGGAAUAACAAGAGUCACGUGUGACUCCCUGCAUGUACCGUAUGAAUAAGCAUCGGCUAACUCCGUG
RNAcentral lists this ribosomal RNA (490 nucleotides) under uncultured bacterium. Its description in RNAcentral is "partial 16S ribosomal RNA". It matches the Rfam family "Bacterial small subunit ribosomal RNA", at positions 28 to 507 of the family's 1533-position model. The record is from RNAcentral.